RNAcentral lists this unclassified non-coding RNA (224 nucleotides) under Hevea brasiliensis (rubber tree). Lineage: Eukaryota; Viridiplantae; Streptophyta; Magnoliopsida; Malpighiales; Euphorbiaceae. The record is from RNAcentral.
AAAGUAAUCACUAUAAAUAUCUCAGCCCAAUCCUUCAAGUAGAUGAAGGAUGUGAGGAGGAUUGUAAUACCCCUCACCCGUUUACAGCGUAGCCGAGCAAGGUGUGCCAUAUUCGGUGCCUGAACGUCCUAUCUUAUCCUAUCAUGGCCAUUGUUAAUUUUUAAACUUUAUAGAAAACAUGUGGUAAUAUUUUUUUAUCACAGUUUAUUUCUGUGGAAAUCCGG